Molecule: unclassified non-coding RNA, 328 nt
Filed under: soil metagenome
Description: partial contains 5.8S ribosomal RNA, internal transcribed spacer 2, and large subunit ribosomal RNA
Rfam family: 5.8S ribosomal RNA (bases 1-119)
Source: RNAcentral
GAUGAAGAACGAGCGAAAUGCGAUAAGUAAUGUGAAUUGCAGAAUUCAGUGAAUCAUCGAAUCUUUGAACGCACAUUGCGCCCCCUGGUAUUCCGGGGGGCAUGCCUGUUCGAGCGUCAUUACAACCCUCAAGCUCUGCUUGGUAUUGGGCCCCGCCAGUUCUGGCGGGCCCUAAAGUCAGUGGCGGUGCCUUCCGGCUCCGAGCGUAGUAAUUCUUCUCGCUCUGGAGACCCGGUUGUGUGCUUGCCAACAACCCCCAAUUUUUUAAGGUUGACCUCGGAUCAGGUAGGGAUACCCGCUGAACUUAAGCAUAUCAAUAAGCGGAGGA